UCUGCCUAGUAGUGGGGGAUAACUUACCGAAAGGUAAGCUAAUACCGCAUACGUCCUACGGGAGAAAGGAGGGGACUCUUCGGAGCCUUUCGCUAUUAGAUGAGCCUAGGUCGGAUUAGUUAGUUGGUGAGGUAAUGGCUCACCAAGACCGCGAUCCGUAACUGGUCUGAGAGGAUGAUCAGUCACACUGGAACUGAGACACGGUCCAGACUCCUACGGGAGGCAGCAGUGGGGAAUAUUGGACAAUGGGGGAAACCCUGAUCCAGCCAUGCCGCGUGUGUGAAGAAGGUCUUAGGAUUGUAAAGCACUUUAAGUUGGGAGGAAGGGCAGUUAACUAAUAUUUGACUGUUUUGACGUUACCGACAGAAUAAGCACCGGCUAACUUCGUGCCAGCAGCCGCGGUAAUACGAAGGGUGCAAGCGUUAAUCGGAAUUACUGGGCGUAAAGCGCGCGUAGGUGGUUCGUUAAGUUAGGAGUGAAAGCCCCGGGCUCAACCUGGGAAUUGCUUCUAAAACUGGCGGGCUAGAGUAUGGUAGAGGGUGGUGGAAUUUCCUGUGUAGCGGUGAAAUGCGUAGAUAUAGGAAGGAACAUCAGUGGCGAAGGCGACCACCUGGACUGAUACUGACACUGAGGUGCGAAAGCGUAUGGAGGCAACAGGAUUAGAUACCCUGGUAGUCCACGCCGUAAACGAUGUCAACUA
RNAcentral lists this ribosomal RNA (700 nucleotides) under uncultured bacterium. Its description in RNAcentral is "bacterial SSU rRNA". It matches the Rfam family "Bacterial small subunit ribosomal RNA", at positions 125 to 818 of the family's 1533-position model. The record is from RNAcentral.